AAACUUUCAACAACGGAUCUCUUGGUUCUGGCAUCGAUGAAGAACGCAGCAAAAUGCGAUAAGUAAUGUGAAUUGCAGAAUUCAGUGAAUCAUCGAAUCUUUGAACGCACAUUGCGCCCGCCAGUAUUCUGGCGGCAUGCCUUUCCGAGCGUCAUUU
This 157-nucleotide ribosomal RNA is filed under the name Fusarium equiseti. RNAcentral describes it as "5.8S ribosomal RNA". It matches the Rfam family "5.8S ribosomal RNA". From Rfam's summary of the family: 5.8S ribosomal RNA (5.8S rRNA) is a component of the large subunit of the eukaryotic ribosome. It is transcribed by RNA polymerase I as part of the 45S precursor that also contains 18S and 28S rRNA. Functionally, it is thought that 5.8S rRNA may be involved in ribosome translocation. Lineage: Eukaryota; Fungi; Ascomycota; Sordariomycetes; Hypocreales; Nectriaceae. The record is from RNAcentral.